RNAcentral lists this ribosomal RNA (372 nucleotides) under uncultured bacterium. RNAcentral's name for it is "bacterial SSU rRNA". It matches the Rfam family "Bacterial small subunit ribosomal RNA", at positions 524 to 898 of the family's 1533-position model. The record is from RNAcentral.
UACGAAGGACCCGAGCGUUAUCCGGAUUUACUGGGUUUAAAGGGUGCGUAGGUGGACCUGUAAGUCAGUGGUGAAAGCCCGAAGCUCAACUUCGGAACUGCCAUUGAUACUGCUUGUCUUGAGUAUAGUUGAGGUAGGCGGAAUAUGUCAUGUAGUGGUGAAAUACUUAGAUAUGACAUAGAACACCGAUUGCGAAGGCAGCUUGCUAAGCUAUAACUGACACUGAUGCACGAAAGCGUGGGGAGCAAACAGGAUUAGAUACCCUGGUAGUCCACGCCCUAAACGAUGAUAACUCGAUGUUGGCGAUACACUGUCAGCGUCCAAGCGAAAGCAUUAAGUUAUCCACCUGGGGAGUACGACCGCAAGGUUGAA